UCACUGUGUACAUAGAGACGGACAUUCUCGAGCACUGGAAUGUCAUGCAACUGACACGCAGUCGUAGACGCCUUAUGAGUGUGUUGACUCUUUGGACAGAUAAGGUGGACGCGGUUUAUUGCAAGUACGACGAUAAGCAUCGCUAUCCGUCAGCAGGCGCGGUAAUCGAGGAUGCAGCGUAUCGAUUAUGGGUUAAAGGGUGCGUAGGCGGUAUACAAGUCAGGGUGAAUCUUGUGCUUACAUUAAAUUGCUUGAAACUGUGGUACUGAGUGUAAAGAGGUAGGCGGAAUGUGUUGUGUAGCGUGAAAUGCAUAGAUAUAACACAGAACCCCGGAUUGCGAAGGCAGCUUACUAUCAUACACUGACGCUGAUGCACGAAAGCGUGGGGAUCAAACAGGAUUAGAUACCUGGUAGUCACGCAGUAAACGAUGAUUACUAGCUGUUAGCGAUAUAUUGUUAGUGGCUAAGCGAAAGCGAUAAGUAAUCCACUGGGGAGUACGUUCGCAAGAAUGAAACUCAAAGGAAUUGACGGGGGCCCGCACAAGCGGAGGAACAUGUGGUUUAAUUCGAUGAUACGCGAGGAACCUUACCCGGGCUUGAAAUGCUAUCGACCGACGGAGAGAUUCGUUAUCCAGCAAUGGCGAUAGUGUAGGUGCUGCAUGGUUGUCGUCAGCUCGUGCCGUGAGGUGUCGGCUUAAGUGCCAUAACGAGCGCAACCCUUGCCAAUAGUUACCAGCAUUUAGAUGGGGACUCUAUUGGGACUGCCACCGUAAGGUGAGAGGAAGGUGGGGAUGACGUCAAAUCAGCACGGCCCUUACGUCCGGGGCGACACACGUGUUACAAUGGGGAGUACAGAGGGUUGCUACACCGCGAGGUGAUGCUAAUCCCUUAAAACUUUUCUCAGUUCGGAUCGGAGUCUGCAACUCGACUCCGUGAAGCUGGAUUCGCUAGUAAUCGCGCAUCAGCCAUGGCGCGGUGAAUACGUUCCCGGGCCUUGUACACACCGCCCGUCAAGCCAUGGGAGUUGGGGGGACCUGAAGUUCGUGACCGCAAGGAGCGACCUAGGGUAAAACCGAUGACUGGGGCUAAGUCGUGACAAGGUAGCCGUACCGGAAGGUGCGGUUGGAACACCUCCUUC
Molecule: ribosomal RNA, 1138 nt
Filed under: uncultured bacterium
Lineage: Bacteria
Description: bacterial SSU rRNA
Rfam family: Bacterial small subunit ribosomal RNA
Source: RNAcentral